Molecule: ribosomal RNA, 506 nt
Filed under: uncultured bacterium
Lineage: Bacteria
Description: SSU rRNA
Rfam family: Bacterial small subunit ribosomal RNA
Source: RNAcentral
AGGACGAACGCUGGCGGCGCGCUUAACACAUGCAAGUCGAGCGAGAACCGGACCUUCGGGUCCGGGGACAGCGGCGAACGGGUGAGUAACACGUGAGUAAUCCACCCUUGGUACCGGGAUAGCCCGAGGAAACUCGGAUUAAUACCGGAUAGCCCGACAGCCUUUCGGGGCGGUCGGAAAAGGUAGCUUCGGCCUCCGACCAAGGACGAGCUCGCGGCGGAUUAGCUUGUUGGCGGGGUAACGGCCCACCAAGGCGACGAUCCGUAGCUGGUCUGAGAGGACGAUCAGCCACACUGGGACUGAGACACGGCCCAGACUCCUACGGAAGGCAGCAGUGGGGAAUCUUGCGCAAUGGGCGAAAGCCUGACGCAGCGACGCCGCGUGAGGGAAGAAGGCCUUCGGGUUGUAAACCUCUUUCAGGAGGGACGAAGCCACUCGGGUUAAUAGCCCAGAGGGUGACGGUACCUCCAGAAGAAGCCCCGGCUAACUACGUGCCAGCAGCCGCC